GGAGUAGUACUCAAGUGGUUGAAGAGGCGCCCCUGCUAAGGGUGUAGGUCGGGCAACUGGCGCGGAGGUUCAAAUCCUCUCUACUCCGCCA
Molecule: transfer RNA, 91 nt
Filed under: Candidatus Fimihabitans intestinipullorum
Lineage: Bacteria; Bacillati; Mycoplasmatota
Description: tRNA-Ser
Rfam family: tRNA
About the family: Transfer RNA (tRNA) molecules are approximately 80 nucleotides in length. Their secondary structure includes four short double-helical elements and three loops (D, anti-codon, and T loops).
Source: RNAcentral